GACGAACGCUGGCGGCGUGCUUAACACAUGCAAGUCGAACGGGAUCCGGGCUUUCGGGUUUGGUGAGAGUGGCGAACGGGUGAGUAACACGUGAGUAACCUGCCCCCUUCUUUGGGAUAACGUCGGGAAAUCGGCGCUAAUACUGGAUAUUCUUGCUGCAUCGCAUGGUGUGGUUUGGAAAGGGUUUCUGGUGGGGGAUGGGCUCGCGGCCUAUCAGCUUGUUGGUGGGGUGAUGGCCUACCAAGGCUUUGACGGGUAGCCGGCCUGAGAGGGGGUCCGGCCACACUGGGACUGAGACACGGCCCAGACUCCUACGGGAGGCAGCAGUGGGGAAUAUUGCACAAUGGGCGCAAGCCUGAUGCAGCGACGCCGCGUGAGGGAUGACGGCCUUCGGGUUGUAAACCUCUUUCAGUAUGGAACAAGGAUCCUUCUUUUGGGGGGUUUGAGGGUACGUGCAGAAGAAGCGCCGGCUAACUACGUG
Molecule: ribosomal RNA, 481 nt
Filed under: uncultured bacterium
Lineage: Bacteria
Description: partial 16S ribosomal RNA
Rfam family: Bacterial small subunit ribosomal RNA
Source: RNAcentral